GAUAAUCAUUUUGUUUGUUUAGACAAACAAGUUAAGUCCGGGCAGACAACAGAUGUCUACGCGGAUCAAAGGACGUGCGUGGCACCGGUAAGGUAAUGGUGAACACCCUUUUUUUGGAUUGCCCUCUUUGUAAUAAUAGGACACUGAAAAUCGAAGUUUACCAUGAAAUAUCUGACAUUAUCUAUCGUUGCAUCACCAGCAGGGAGUUUAGCAAGAAAAAGACAACGGUUGUCAUUUUAAUCUAAUGAAAUUAGAACGUAAUGAAAUUAAUGUAACAGACGACAGAAAUGUAGCUGUUAAUUUGAGUGUCAAGCAUUUGCCGCAUGGUGAGAUUAAUCAGAAACGGUCCCCGGCUAACUUGGUCGUGCUGUCAGUCCAACGGCAACUCUCACGGCAAAGCUAACAUGUUCAGGCUAAUGCAAUGUGGCAAACUUGGGAGCCAAGUUUAGUAACACAGGCUAACCUACGCCAGUCGGGGUUACCUUCAAAACCGGACAGGAGAUAAGGCUUGCUUGGAACAGCGCCUACAACUGGCAGGACCUACGAUUAUCAAGCUGUUUGCCCUUAUGCCUGUAAACAAUGCCUGUAAUAUUCAUGUGUAACAUUUAAAAAUAUAUAUGUUUUAAUUUUAUUUGUAUAACAAUCAGAAUAAAUACACAAAUACAGUAUAUUAGUCUAUAAGGUAUGUGUUUUCUGUUUGCACAUUGAAAUCUACCUUGAGUAAUACCAUCAGGCAUAUUUCCGAACAGCAGCAACCGUGUGUUGUCUUUGUUUUGGCUCCCGUUUGGCUCGCUUUUUCUGUUUAGUUCAUCUACACUACGAGGGCUGUAACUACUACGAAGCCAGAUUAGUGGGUUAGCGAGCAAUGUUGACCCUAAAGCGAGAGUUUUCCAUAUUACGAAGAGACUCUCUUUUAACCUCGCUAGAUCACCAUGUACAUUUAUGCUGCAUGCAUAACCUGGUAUAGAUAGACUAUAAAGUCCAGUUCAUGUUCCAACAAUAUCAGCAAUUCAGACAAUCAUAGGAAGAAUACUGUUGUGUGUCGUUAUUUUAAAUAUAAAUCCAUUAUUUUAUUCCUCUUUUCCUUUCCUCCCAUUUAGUUGUGUGUACAAAGUAUCAUAGUAUUUAUUUGAAAUGGGUUCUCUUGCCAUUGGCACACACUGACUCUAAAAUAAACGUAUAAAUUGUCUGAUGGCAUUUGUACAAUACCCUGUAUAUCAAUAUGAAGAUUACUUGUAUUUGCAGUAUCAUCAUUCAAACCAUUAUUUCACCACUUUGGAAUCAUUCAUUGGGUGACAGUUUCCAACGAUUGCAAUUUUUGAGUAUAUUGUGUUUAAAUCUCUUUUAUAUGUGAGAGCCUAUGGAAUAGUUAGAACCUGUGUAUGCCAUAUAUAAUGUCCAGUUAAUGACACUAUACUGAAGGUUGCUCUUCAAAUAUCCUCCUUAGCAUUUCUGCACUCCGGAAUGUCUUGAAAUAAUUGAUUGACAGUUAAUUUUAAUUGAGCUUUUUAUUUGAAUAUUUGGUUUCCCCAUAAUAAUAAACUGAAUCUUUUUGGAA
Eleginops maclovinus (Patagonian blennie) is the source of this 1558-nucleotide long non-coding RNA. RefSeq lists it as uncharacterized. Lineage: Eukaryota; Metazoa; Chordata; Actinopteri; Perciformes; Eleginopidae. The transcript has 2 exons. The record is from RefSeq and is a predicted model, not a curated record.